Molecule: long non-coding RNA, 706 nt
Organism: Pseudophryne corroboree (corroboree frog)
Lineage: Eukaryota; Metazoa; Chordata; Amphibia; Anura; Myobatrachidae
Exons: 3
Source: RefSeq, a predicted model, not a curated record
GGAUGAACCAGGGAGGGAAUAUGUAGAGACUGCAACCUACCACAAUCAAAGCUGGCUGCGAAGUACAGAACCAUUGACUGAUGUUCGAGGGUAUUGAACAGACAACCGAAGGACAUUGAUAUACGGAGUCUAUCUCCAACAGUUACAUGGGGGCUCGUGACCCGGGAUCACUAACGCUCCUGCCAGCAGAUGACGACACGGCUGAUGCUCAUAUACAACCAAUGACAAAACCCCGGUUUUUGCCUCUCUCCCAGUUUCAGGAGCAGCUCUGAAUCCCCACAAAAUUUAACCAGGAGAUUGGGUGUAUCUGAAAAGACAUGUGAGAAAGUCACUUGAGCCCAGAUUUGAUGGUCCAUAUCAAGUGUUGCUGACCACGCCUACUUCUGUGAAAAUUAAGGCGAGAGAGAGACUUGGGUGCCACUGCAAACUUGCCCAAGUUAAGUUUGAUCAAUAAAAUACACAAACAUGCAGAGGCUAAGUGGGCCUAAAUCAGACAGGCCACUAUGGGUCAUUAGAUUGGGAACUUCAGUAUUUAUUGCAUGACAUUAUAUACCCAGACAAGUAGAAUGUGUUGUACAUUUAUCACUAAUGAAACAGAUAAUGCACAAGAAGUGGUUCAAUGGCAUGUCCAAGAAAUAGAAAAGAAAAACAAGCAUAUGCCAACAAAAACAAUAUCCCUGACACUCUAGAGCAGGCAUUCCCAACC